CAAAUUUAAAAUCUACCUGGUUUCCAGGUCGAGUUGUAAUUUGAAGAUACGUUUUUGACGUUCCGGGUUGAACUAAAUCCUUUGGGAUAAGGUAUCAUGGAGGGUGAGAAUCCCGUAUAUACCAACCRUAGGGAUGUUAUUUAAUACGUUUCUAAGAGUCGAGUUGUUUGGGAAUGCAGCUCUAAAUGGGUGGUAAAUUUCACCUAAUGCUAAAUAUAAGCGAGAGACCGAUAGCGAACAAGUACAGUGAUGGAAAGAUGAAAAGAACUUUGAAAAGAGAGUUAAAUAGUAYGUGAAAUUGUUGAAAGGGAAACGAUUGAAGUCAGUCAUGCCGGUGGGAAUCAACUUWGAGGAAACUCUGAGUGCACUUCUUCGCUUGGCAGGUCAACGUCGAUUUUGGAUGUCAUAAAAUGAUUGGGGGAAGGUAGCUCYUUCGGGAGUGUUAUAGCCCUUGGUAGAUGUGAUGUCUGGGAUCGAGGAUUGCAAUGGAUACCCUUUGGGGCUAGCCGCCUGAUCUCUAAUUGGUAUUGGGUUACGGAUAGCAUGCUGACCGUGAUCUAAUUAUUGGUUAAAAGGUUAG
RNAcentral lists this ribosomal RNA (580 nucleotides) under Glomeromycotina sp. RNAcentral's name for it is "eukaryotic LSU rRNA". It matches the Rfam family "Eukaryotic large subunit ribosomal RNA", at positions 110 to 629 of the family's 3401-position model. Lineage: Eukaryota; Fungi; Glomeromycota. The record is from RNAcentral.